GGAAGCGAUUGGAGCCUGGUGGCUUCCACGGUCUUCAAAACCGUUGGCCCGCGAACAGCGGGCGGUGGGUUCGAUUCCCAUCCGCUUCCGCCA
Molecule: transfer RNA, 93 nt
Filed under: Novosphingobium sp.
Lineage: Bacteria; Pseudomonadati; Pseudomonadota; Alphaproteobacteria; Sphingomonadales; Sphingomonadaceae
Description: tRNA-Sec
Rfam family: Selenocysteine transfer RNA
Source: RNAcentral